Molecule: long non-coding RNA, 108 nt
Organism: Lagopus leucura (white-tailed ptarmigan)
Lineage: Eukaryota; Metazoa; Chordata; Aves; Galliformes; Phasianidae
Exons: 3
Source: RefSeq, a predicted model, not a curated record
GGUGUAACUGUACAAACCUGACCUUAGGUCACGAUAUCAUGGGCACUGAACACAGUUUUCCCUUCCUGCAUCCUACAAAGCUUCUUCUCCCACAAAGGGCGACCACAU